GCCUAAAUCUUAGCCCUACUCACUACCCACCUUACUUCAACAAAAUAAAACAUUUUCUCCAUUAAGUAACGGCGAUUAAAAAAUGAUUAAGAGCAACAGAGACAGUACCGCAAGGGAAACAUGAAAUAACAUGAAAAACCUAAAGCAUGCUACAGCAAAGUCUAAGCCUUGUACCUUUUGCAUCAUGGUCUAGCAAGUUUAACCAAGCAAGACGCACUUAAAGUUUGACCCCCCGAAACUAAGCGAGCUACUCUAAAACAGCCUCACAGGGCCAACCCUUCUCUGUCGCAAAAGAGUGGGAAGAUUUUAAAGUAGAGGUGAUAUACCUACCGAGCCUAGAGAUAGCUGGUUAUUCAAGAAAAGGAUCUUAGUCCGCCUUUAAGUUUUAAUAACACAAGUAAAUACUUCACCUAAAUAUUUAAUAAACUUUAAAGUCACUCAAAUAAGGUACAGCCUAUUUGAUUCAGGAAACAGCCUCCAAUACUGGGUAAUGAAGCCCCCCCCAUGACCAAGUAGGCCUAAAAGCAGCCACCUUCUAAAAAGCGUUCAAGCUUUAUCAUAAUCUGUUUCUAAUCCCUCAACCAACUCAUAACCCCCAACUACUACUGAAUAAUCUCAUAAAUGUAUGAGAGCCAUCAUGCUAGAACUAGUAACAAGAAAAGAACCUCUCCAAAAUGUAAACGCAAGCCAUAAUGAACCCUCGCCGGCACCUACCGCAUAAACUCUUAGUACCAACAACCCAAGAAAACCGUACUUUAAACAGCGUUAACCUUACACUAGAACAUUUCUGAGAAAGAUUAAAAGAGAUGGAAGGAAUUCGGCAAACAUUAGCCCCGCCUGUUUACCAAAAACACCGCCUCUUGACAAACAUAAGAGGUCCAGCCUGCCCAGUGACACCCCAGUUAAACGGCCGCGGUAAUUUGACCGUGCAAAGGUAGCACAAUCACUUGUUCUUUAAAUAAGGACUAGAAUGAACGGCUUCACGAGGGCUAUACUGUCUCCCCUCUCUAAUCAGUGAAACUGAUCUCCUCGUGAAGAAGCGAGGAUACCCCGAUAAGACGAGAAGACCCCAUGAAGCUUUAAACUUGUAACAACCCCCCCAUCUAAGUACACCAGUAAUAGAAAGAAAUGUCUACAAGUCUUUCGGCUGGGGCGACCCUGGAGGAAAACUCAACCUUCGCGAUGAACGGACCCACUCCUAAUCAAAGAGCUACAACUCAAAGAAUCAAUAAACUGACACAUUGACCCAAAUAUUUGAUCAACGAACCAAGUUACACUGGGGAUAACAGCGCAAUCCAUUUCUAGAGCCCCCAUCGACAAAUGGGCUUACGACCUCGAUGUUGGAUCAGGGUAUCCCAGUGGUGCAGCCGCUACUAAAGGUUCGUUUGUUCAACGAUUAAAACCCU
RNAcentral lists this ribosomal RNA (1406 nucleotides) under Cophyla berara. Its description in RNAcentral is "partial 16S ribosomal RNA". It matches the Rfam family "Bacterial large subunit ribosomal RNA", at positions 35 to 2597 of the family's 2925-position model. The record is from RNAcentral. Lineage: Eukaryota; Metazoa; Chordata; Amphibia; Anura; Microhylidae.